Long non-coding RNA from Cryptotermes secundus, 2879 nucleotides. RefSeq lists it as uncharacterized. The record is from RefSeq and is a predicted model, not a curated record. The transcript is spliced from 2 exons. NCBI's taxonomy places the organism in Eukaryota, Metazoa, Arthropoda, Insecta, Blattodea, Kalotermitidae.
UACAUCUUAAUAUUAGUUAAAUGAUAUAACAUAUAUAUCUAUGACAUGUAACAGUAGUUUCCAUAAGUUCAGAAGGUGGUCGUUUUGACUGAAACAUAUGAAGGAUGAAAAAUUAAAAGCAACUUUUUAUCAAUCUCACUGGACGAUGGUUACAAAUCUUAUAUGCAGUUAUAAAAGGCCUGUGUUUAAUCCACAUGCAGAUGAUCAAGAGUCUUCUGUAGGUAUACGAGAACUCAAAAGACACAUAGACUCAGCCAAUAAUAUCUGUUCAUGAAACUGUGUAAGACUGAACUUAGGCAUCUUUUUGGAGGUGGUGAUAAUGAUUUGAACCCAAAAUGAAUAUUAUCUGAAGUAUGAAUUGUAAUCCUGAUGUGUUACUAAUCUUCACUUAAGAAGGUACACAGACUGACUACAGGUGUUCCCAAACUUACAUUUUUCUUGAUAUCAGUAAUGUAUAACUGUAAGUUGACAACCUCAGUCACAUAUAUUCCAGCCACCUAAUUAUUUAAGACAGUUUCAGUAUGUUUUAGUCUUUGUUAGUAGAAAUUAACUUGAAAUCACAUUAUUACAGAAGUUGUUACUUUUGUGUAUUUCUUCAUGAAACAGGGAUUAUAAUUUAAAACAUGUACACCUACUCCAUUAGGUGCAUGAAGAAUAUGUUGUUCAGUUAGUGUGGUUACUUGCAAGGUUGGAAUUAUGUGUGGAGUUGAUUUUAGUUUAUAGCAUUCUCACUCAGAGCAGUCUUCUUAUGGUAAUUGAUGGUCAUUACUAUCUGUCCUUACCAUAGGUAAUUAAUUUUUCAGUAAAUGGUUUUCAAACAAAAGGUAUGACACACUUAUCAAAAGAAACUGAAGAUGUUGUUUCUUUAUUGGUCAGUAUCCUGUUGAAAAAGAUAAAAUAAAAUAGUUUUCUUUGGUGUAGUAUUUAAAUGUAUAUAAUCUUUGGGAAAAAUGAUAUAAAAAUGCUUAAAUUUCAUGAUAUGUUUGUAUUUCCUAACAGACUCAUUACUGUGAUGAAGACUUGUUCAAACAAAGCUCUGAGAAUUGCUUUCAUUAUGUAAUGUAAUUCAUCUGCACUGAUCACAGUUCAGUUUAAUCAGUACAGCACAAUUACUGUAUUGUUGUAGUGUGUCAAUAUUCCUUGUUCAUAAAUGGAAGUACAGUCAUCUACAAGCACCAGUGUUACUUGCAACAUUUGAGAUAUUCAUGGCAGUAAUCAUGAGGAAGUUGGAAGUGACGCUGUGUAGGUGGGUAGGAGUGAGCCAACAUUUUGGAGGAACGUACUGCCACCUUUGUAAGGGUAGACUUCUACUACAUACAUUCUAUCACAUCCUGACUUUUCCGCAAUAUUAUUGAGGACAAGUCUUCUGAAAUGUAAUGCUCUGUAAUUUGUUUUAACCAACAGUGCAGACAAAUAUACUUCCUCCAUCUUCAGGAUAGAAAAUUGAAGCUGAAGGCAUUGUGUACCUCUGAAAUGUCAUUAAACUUCUACAAACCUACACAGUAUCACAUCCCAUAUCAUCAGCCAAAUGAAACUGCUGUUUGUGGGUGACCUGAUUUCAUAUUGUGACUUCAAACAUCUGUACCUACAUAAUCUAAAUGUCUGAUAUCUGGAGUCAUCCUAAAGAUGGAGGCACACAUUGUUAGUAUCCACCUAUCAGACUGCAGCAUGGUGUGUUUCACCAGAACCCUGGUAUCCACCUGCCAGACUACAACACAGUGUAAUAGCACACAGCGUCCCCACCAAGGAACUUGAUUAUACAGCUUUCCAGUUUUGUCAGGAAGUUACAUCAAGGACUUGUAGCUGAAAUGGGAGAACACAAAUACUUUUCCCUUCCUUGCAUCCUGUCAUGUUAUAUACAAUUCUUUAUUGGAGUCCGUCAUAACACAACAACAUAAUGGUCAAGGUUAAAGUUACCUAGCUACAUGAUUACUAAUUGUCUGUAAUCAUGUGUUUUGCCUGAUGAUGGCUUUAAAAUGCCGAAGCAUAUAGCUGGGUAUUUUUAACCUUGACUGUUAUGUUAUUGUGUUAUGACGGACUCCAGUAAAAAAUUGGACACAAAUACGUACAAUAUUUUUGUUGGAACAUGCUGGAAAGCAUCCACUUGGGAAAGCAAAAGUGGUGGAAGAAAAAUAUCAAACCAGAUCUUGACAAAACUGGGUAUAUGACUGUGGAUCAUGAUGUGUCCACUGGUGGGCUCUGGUAUUAGCAGCUUUCAUCCUGGAAGGGUAUGCUGAAAAGUAAUGCCUCCAUAAGACAGUGGCGAAAAUGUGGUUCCGUCCUGCCACACUUGCAGAAGUACAGGUACUCCUUGGUAUAUGCAAGUUUGAAACAUGUUUCAUUUUAAUGCAGUCAAUUAAUUUAGACCUGUAACACUUGCUUUAGUAUGAACUGCUUGCUGGCCCAUCAAGAGAGGUCAGAAGAAGGGUGAAUUAGGAUGAUGUGCAUGAAUGAAAUUGCUGUUAUGGAAAAGAAAUCGGGAGUCAUUACUUUCAGCAUGCCCUUGUACAAGCUCUGUCACCAGGAGAAGACAUACACUUCCCAAUGAUAUAUCCCACAUUGUGAAAUUGGAAAUUUCAUAAUGUUAAUUGAAAUCCAUAUUUAAAUAUUUGUUGCUUGACCUCCAGUGGUGUCCUGUGUACAGAGCACACUUGCAUUGUAUCACAUCACUACGUGAAACACAGAAUACCUAUGGCAGCCAUAACUUCUGUCUCUAACAGUGAUAUUAUAUCAAAAGUGCCAGUUUUUUAUUGCAGUUGAGAAAAAAGAAAAUGCUACAAGCUGUCUAUUCAUAUAUGGGUAGUCACAUUUUGAAAUUUCUGUGGCAUGUAACAAAUACUGUGUACGUCUGAAAUAAAAUUACCCUACUUUACCUUUUA